GUUUGAAAGAACAAAUGAUGGCGUCAAUGGGAAGACUAAUUGAAAACUACCACACCACCUUAUAGAAGAACCAACCUACUGUACAGAACAAGGAAUUAAGGAGGAGUGAAUAUGGGUCUGCCCGCUGCUUGCCUCCUCCACCUCACCCAAGAUGAUCACUCCCUCGGGGACCACACAAUGUCCUAUACAGCUCCGUAACACUCAUGAAUGAUGCAUACUGCCUUCUUCUGAUAAGGGACCUGCUGUGGAUCCAGGAGUGUGAACAUGGCAAAGAAAAAACACCUCUAUGGUUGUCAGGAGGAGCAGCUUUCAUGUUUCUUGUUUCCAUUUGGAUUUUUGGUUUCGAACAGUGCAUGAGGUUUAAUCAUAGAAAUAUUGUAAAACGAGAUAUGUGGUGGCACAUUUGAAUAAAGAUUUUAAAAACUGGAUGGAUGGAUGGAUGGA
Molecule: long non-coding RNA, 444 nt
Organism: Ctenopharyngodon idella (grass carp)
Lineage: Eukaryota; Metazoa; Chordata; Actinopteri; Cypriniformes; Xenocyprididae
Exons: 3
Source: RefSeq, a predicted model, not a curated record